Molecule: small RNA, 640 nt
Filed under: Drosophila ananassae
Lineage: Eukaryota; Metazoa; Arthropoda; Insecta; Diptera; Drosophilidae
Description: GF28003
Source: RNAcentral
GAUUUGGAUAUUUAUGAAUAUAUUCGCCAUUAUAUGGUUGAUCACAGAAUGCUUUCAGAUAUAAAUAUUUUAACAGGUGUCAUAUUUACAGAAAAGAAAGUUGCAAUUUUAUUCAAUGACAAACGAAAAUAUAUUGUACCAAAUGGUCUUGCCCAUUUAAUGAAUUCUCUUGCUUUUGGAUUUGUGGGUCCUGAUACAAAAAUUAUUGUUAAAAUGGAGCUGUUGCAGUUUUCUACUGUUCAAGGUCCAAUUGCUCAAAACAAUGUCAAUAGUAUUAAUUUGGUUUUAGCUACUUCAAUAAACUUCUGUUUUUGCUUUAUCUGGACAUUUCCCCUUCUGUUUAUCAACUUAAAUAAGAGUAGUCGUCCUUACAAUACAGAAUUAUGUGCAGGGAUGCGAAUAAGCGUUCUUAUAUUGGCCUUUUUCAUAUAUGAUUCACUUUCUUCUAUGCUUGGUCUAAUCCCAUUGAAUAUUUCCAUUCUUUUUUUUCAAUGGGAUGCACUAAUGGAUAGUGAAAUAUUUUUGCUAUGUCAUUUCUGGGAUUGGUAUAUGUGUCCUUAGUAUAAAUAUAUUAAUAUCGCUUCGUUUUACGGAUCUACAAAACUGCUAUAUGAAAACUGUCACAUUUUAUUCAUUCGGA